RNAcentral lists this transfer RNA (58 nucleotides) under Rattus norvegicus (Norway rat). Lineage: Eukaryota; Metazoa; Chordata; Mammalia; Rodentia; Muridae. The record is from Rfam by way of RNAcentral.
UGGCUCAGUGGUUAAGAGCACUGACUGCUCUUCUAGAGGUCCUGGGUUCAAAUCCCAG